AGAGUUUGAUCAUGGCUCAGAAUCAACGCUGGCGGCGUGCCUCAGACAUGCAAGUCGAACGAUUAAACUCACCUUCGGGUGAGAUAUAAAGUGGCGCACGGGUGAGUAACACGUAGGUAAUCUACCUUUGAGUGGGGAAUAACGUUCGGAAACGAACGCUAAUACCGCAUAAUGCAGCGGCACCGCAAGGUGACAGUUGUUAAAGGAGCAAUCCGCUUAAAGAGGAGCCUGCGGCAGAUUAGCUAGUUGGUAAGGUAAUGGCUUACCAAGGCGACGAUCUGUAACCGACCUGAGAGGGUGGUCGGUCACACUGACACUGAAUAACGGGUCAGACUCCUACGGGAGGCAGCAGUCGGGAAUUUUGGGCAAUGGGCGAAAGCCUGACCCAGCAACGCCGCGUGAAGGAUGAAGUAUUUCGGUAUGUAAACUUCGAAAGAAUGGGAAGAAUAAAUGACGGUACCAUUUAUAAGGUCCGGCUAACUACGUGCCAGCAGCCGCGGUAAUACGUAGGGACCAAGCGUUGUUCGGAUUUACUGGGCGUAAAGGGCGCGUAGGCGGCGUGUUAAGUCAGCUGUGAAAUCUCCGAGCUUAACUCGGAACGGUCAGCUGAUACUGAUGUGCUAGAGUGCAGAAGGGGCAAUCGGAAUUCUUGGUGUAGCGGUGAAAUGCGUAGAUAUCAAGAGGAACACCUGAGGUGAAGACGGGUUGCUGGGCUGACACUGACGCUGAGGCGCGAAAGCUAGGGUAGCAAACGGGAUUAGAUACCCCCGUAGUCC
Molecule: ribosomal RNA, 776 nt
Filed under: uncultured Acidobacteriota bacterium
Lineage: Bacteria; Pseudomonadati; Acidobacteriota
Description: bacterial SSU rRNA
Rfam family: Bacterial small subunit ribosomal RNA
Source: RNAcentral